UGGGGAAUAUUGCGCAAUGGGGGAAACCCUGAUCCAGCAAUGCCGCGUGAGUGAAGAAGGCCUUCGGGUUGUAAAGCUCUUUUGUCAGGGAAGAAACGGUAGUAGCGAAUAACUAUUACUAAUGACGGUACCUGAAGAAUAAGCACCGGCUAACUACGUGCCAGCAGCCGCGGUAAUACGUAGGGUGCAAGCGUUAAUCGGAAUUACUGGGCGUAAAGCGUGCGCAGGCGGUUGUGUAAGUCAGAUGUGAAAUCCCCGGGCUCAACCUGGGAAUUGCAUUUGAGACUGCACGGCUAGAGUGUGUCAGAGGGGGGUAGAAUUCCACGUGUAGCAGUGAAAUGCGUAGAUAUGUGGAGGAAUACCGAUGGCGAAGGCAGCCCCCUGGGAUAACACUGACGCUCAUGCACGAAAGCGUGGGGAGCAAACAGGAUUAGAUACCCGUGUAGUCCCUGAGCGGGCUGGCAAGGCGCAU
This 472-nucleotide ribosomal RNA is filed under the name uncultured bacterium. RNAcentral's name for it is "bacterial SSU rRNA". It matches the Rfam family "Bacterial small subunit ribosomal RNA", at positions 355 to 825 of the family's 1533-position model. The record is from RNAcentral.